Molecule: ribosomal RNA, 85 nt
Filed under: Bacteroides sp.
Lineage: Bacteria; Pseudomonadati; Bacteroidota; Bacteroidia; Bacteroidales; Bacteroidaceae
Source: RNAcentral
CCACCUCUUCCCAUUCCGAACAGAGAAGUUAAACCUUAUCACGCCGAUGGUACUGCGAAAGCGGGAGAGUAGGUAAUCGCCCCCU